GAUGAACGCUGGCGGCGUGCCUAAUACAUGCAAGUCGAGCGAACAGACGAUGAGCUUUCUCCUCUGACGUUAGCGGCUGACGGGUGAGUAACACGUGGAUAACCUACCUAUAAGACUGGGAUAACUUCGGGAAACCGGAGCUACUACCGGAUAAUAUAUUGAACCGCAUGGUUCAAUAGUUAAAGACGGUUUUGCUGUCACUUAUAGAUGGAUCCGCGCCGCAUUAGCUAGUUGGUAAGGUAACGGCUUACCAAGGCAACGAUGCGUAGCCGACCUGAGGGGGUGAUCGGCCACACUGGAACUGAGACACGGUCCAGACUCCUACGGGAGGCAGCAGUAGGGAAUAUUCGACAAUGGGCGAAAGCCUGACGGAGCAACGCCGCGUGAGUGAUGAAGGUCUUCGGAUCGUAAAACUCUGUUAUUAGGGAAGAAAAAAUGUGGAAGUAACUAUGCACGUCUUGACGGUACCUAAACAGAAAGCCACGGCUAACUACGUG
This 497-nucleotide ribosomal RNA is filed under the name uncultured bacterium. RNAcentral describes it as "partial 16S ribosomal RNA". It matches the Rfam family "Bacterial small subunit ribosomal RNA", at positions 28 to 507 of the family's 1533-position model. The record is from RNAcentral.